GGCAAAAGCAAGAAGGCCAAAGGCUCCAAAAGCGGCAAGGGGGGGGGGGGGCCAAGAAAGCCAAGAGCGGCCCCAAAAGCAAAUCCGGGGGGGGGCGGCGGCGAGGCGAGGAAGAGGAAGAAGACGAAGGCCAAAAGCGGCGGGGGGGGGCUGAAGAAAUCCAAAGCCGACAGCUGCGGGCAGAGCGGGACCCCCCCCCAGCAAAGCGCUUCGAGAGCCGGAGGUCCCGUAGAGACUCAUUGGUCGGGUUCGGAGAAAUCGGGGGGCAGCCCGAAACCCCCCAGCCCUAAAACGGCCCCCCCGGGAAGCAAAGGGACGGCGGCGGCGGCGACCGAAAGCGAAGUGACUCCGGAUUCGCAGACGGUGGACAGCAGCUGUAAAACCCCCGACGUGUCCUUCCUCGUUGAGGAAGGGGGGGGAGGAGGAGGAGGAGGAGGAGUCGUCGGGGGGGGGCGGAAAGAGAAGCGCCCCCUUCCCCCCCAGCGCCGCCCCGCGUGGGAACCCGAAGCCGACAGCCGCAGUGGGGGAGAAGGAGGGCCC
RNAcentral lists this long non-coding RNA (540 nucleotides) under Gallus gallus (chicken). The record is from RNAcentral. Lineage: Eukaryota; Metazoa; Chordata; Aves; Galliformes; Phasianidae.